RNAcentral lists this long non-coding RNA (581 nucleotides) under Anser cygnoides (Swan goose). RNAcentral describes it as "lncRNA (ENSACDG00005010681.1)". Lineage: Eukaryota; Metazoa; Chordata; Aves; Anseriformes; Anatidae. The record is from RNAcentral.
GCUGUCUUCGGCACUGUCCGGCUACCUACAGACGUGCCUCCUGGGGACCUCCGGGACCUGCUCAACGUGUUGCUCUGUGCGGAGACAAAGCUGAUCUUGUCACUGCUAUUAUUGCCUGUGUUGAAUAGAUUAAAGGGAACUUGGGCUGUGCUGUGGCUUGGUUUCGCUGUGUGGACACGCUGCUCAGGCCAAGAGCUCCUCUCCCUUCCACUGCUGCCAGCCCCAAGACGUGCUUUGUGCCAGCCUCGUGAGUCACGGCGUCUGCACAGCGGGUUUGAAGUCAGGAGGAGUGACUGGUGCUUAGCUUCUCUGAAGGCAGCCCCCAGCUGUGUUGUUCAGGGUGCCUUAGGAACUCAGCUGCUGGUGUAUAAGGAUGAGAGGCUGCAACAGAAAGAUCAUCUAAUGAAGGCUUUGUUCAAAGCCACGUCUCCAGCUGCGCCCUUCUUGCCAAGGUGGACUGGCAGAUUUCAGCGGUGAGAGGAGCUGAGCUUUGGCAAAGAUCAGACUGAAUCCUCGGAGGGAGCAGACAAGUUGGUGACCUAACUGGCUUGUAGCGGAAUAAAAGUUUCAUUUUAAAAUCA